This is a long non-coding RNA of Hippocampus comes (tiger tail seahorse), 127 nucleotides long. RefSeq lists it as uncharacterized. Lineage: Eukaryota; Metazoa; Chordata; Actinopteri; Syngnathiformes; Syngnathidae. The transcript is spliced from 3 exons. The record is from RefSeq and is a predicted model, not a curated record.
UUCAGGAAUGUAAACAUUUCUUCCCUUCACAUUCACUAUUGUGCUUUAAGGAACAUCUUGGAAUAUCCAAAAGGCUCGCCUGUGUGCAUGUGUGUGUGUGUGUUUAAAUGUGUAAUGUGUGUGUUUG